AGUGAACGCUGGCGGUAGGCCUAACACAUGCAAGUCGAACGGCAGCACAGUAAGAGCUUGCUCUUACGGGUGGCGAGUGGCGGACGGGUGAGGAAUACAUCGGAAUCUACUUUUUCGUGGGGGAUAACGUAGGGAAACUUACGCUAAUACCGCAUACGACCUACGGGUGAAAGCAGGGGAUCUUCGGACCUUGCGCGAUUGAAUGAGCCGAUGUCGGAUUAGCUAGUUGGCGGGGUAAAGGCCCACCAAGGCGACGAUCCGUAGCUGGUCUGAGAGGAUGAUAAGACACACGGGAAAUGAGACACGGUCCAGACUCCUACGGGAGGCAGCAGUGGGGAAGAUGGGACAAGGGGCGCAAGCCUGAUCCAGCCAUACCGCGUGGGUGAAGAAGGCCUUCGGGUUGUAAAGCCCUUUUGUUGGGAAAGAAAAGCAGCAGGUUAAUACCCCGCUGUUCUGACGGUACCCAAAGAAUAAGCACCGGCUAACUUCGUG
This 492-nucleotide ribosomal RNA is filed under the name uncultured bacterium. RNAcentral's name for it is "partial 16S ribosomal RNA". It matches the Rfam family "Bacterial small subunit ribosomal RNA", at positions 29 to 507 of the family's 1533-position model. The record is from RNAcentral.